This 97-nucleotide non-coding RNA is filed under the name Ilyobacter polytropus. RNAcentral's name for it is "TPP sequence". It matches the Rfam family "TPP riboswitch aptamer (THI element)". From Rfam's summary of the family: Vitamin B(1) in its active form thiamin pyrophosphate (TPP) is an essential coenzyme that is synthesised by coupling of pyrimidine and thiazole moieties in bacteria. The previously detected thiamin-regulatory element, thi box was extended, resulting in a new, highly conserved RNA secondary structure, the THI element, which is widely distributed in eubacteria and also occurs in some archaea. Analysis of operon structures identified a large number of new candidate thiamin-regulated genes, mostly transporters, in various prokaryotic organisms. The record is from RNAcentral. RNAcentral also lists the same sequence under 1 other name. Lineage: Bacteria; Fusobacteriati; Fusobacteriota; Fusobacteriia; Fusobacteriales; Fusobacteriaceae.
GAAUGUUGCUAGGGGAGCCUUUUGGCUGAGAGGAGAAUUCCGACCCUUAGAACCUGAUCUGGAUAAUACCAGCGUAGGGAAGCAGCGGAAAUCUUUU